AACGAACGCUGGCGGCAGGCCUAACACAUGCAAGUCGAACGCUCCGCAAGGGGAGUGGCGCACGGGUGAGUAACACGUGGGAACCUACCUUCUGGUACGGAACAACCAAGGGAAACUUUGGCUAAGACCGUAUACGACCUCCGGGUGAAAGAUUGAUCGCCGGAAGAGGGGCCCGCGUCCGAUUAGGUAGUUGGUGAGGUAACGGCUCACCAAGCCUUCGAUCGGUAGCUGGUCUGAGAGGAUGACCAGCCACACUGGGACUGAGACACGGCCCAGACUCCUACGGGAGGCAGCAGUGGGGAAUAUUGGACAAUGGGCGCAAGCCUGAUCCAGCCAUGCCGCGUGAGUGAUGAAGG
Molecule: ribosomal RNA, 356 nt
Filed under: uncultured bacterium
Lineage: Bacteria
Description: bacterial SSU rRNA
Rfam family: Bacterial small subunit ribosomal RNA
Source: RNAcentral